This 917-nucleotide ribosomal RNA is filed under the name Halomicrobium sp. ST_23S87. RNAcentral describes it as "bacterial SSU rRNA". It matches the Rfam family "Archaeal small subunit ribosomal RNA", at positions 490 to 1411 of the family's 1478-position model. The record is from RNAcentral. Lineage: Archaea; Methanobacteriati; Methanobacteriota; Halobacteria; Halobacteriales; Haloarculaceae.
GAUGGCCGCUGUUAUUGGCCUAAAGCGUCCGUAGCUUGCCGUCCAAAUCUAUCGGGAAAUCGACGUGCUCAACGCGUCGGCUUCCGGUGGAAACUGCAGGGCUUGGGGCCGGGAAGACUCAGCGGGUACGUCCGGGGUAGGAAGUGAAAUCCUGUAUUCCUGGACGGACCACCAAUGGGAAAGCACGCUGAGAANCCGGACCCGACAGUGAGGGACGAAAGCCAGGGUCUCGAACCGGAUUAGAUACCCGGGUAGUCCUGGCCGUAAACGAUGCUCGUUAGGUCUGCCGUGCACUACGAGUGCACGGUGAGCCGAAGUGAAGACGAUAAACGAGCCGCCUGGGAAGUACGUCCGCAAGGAUGAAACUUAAAGGAAUUGGCGGGGGAGCACCACAACCGGAGGAGCCUGCGGUUUAAUUGGACUCAACGCCGGACAUCUCACCAGUCCCGACAGCAAUAACGACGGUCAGCUUGACGAGCUUACCCGAGUUGCUGAGAGGAGGUGCAUGGCCGCCGUCAGCUCGUACCGUGAGGCAUCCUGUUAAGUCAGGUAACGAGCGAGACCCGCAUCCGUAGUUGCCAGAGAUACCCUGAGGUAGUCGGGUACACUACGGAGACCGCCGACGCUAAGUCGGAGGAAGGAACGGGCAACGGUAGGUCAGUAUGCCCCGAAUGGACUGGGCAACACGCGGGCUACAAUGGUCGAGACAAUGGGUCGCGAUACCGAGAGGUAGAGCUAAUCCCCCAAACUCGGUCGUAGUUCGGAUUGUGGGCUGAAACUCGCCCACAUGAAGCUGGAUUCGGUAGUAAUCGCGUGUCAGAAGCGCGCGGUGAAUACGUCCCUGCUCCUUGCACACACCGCCCGUCAAAGCACCCGAGUGAGGUCCGGAUGAGGCCAUCAUGCGAUGGUCGAAUCUG